RNAcentral lists this non-coding RNA (23 nucleotides) under Arabidopsis thaliana (thale cress). Lineage: Eukaryota; Viridiplantae; Streptophyta; Magnoliopsida; Brassicales; Brassicaceae. The record is from RNAcentral.
AUCUACAUCUUGGUUGUCGGCAC